UACGGAGGGUGCUAGCGUUGUUCGGAAUUACUGGGCGUAAAGGGCGCGUAGGCGGCCGUUUGCGUCGGAUGUGAAAGCCCGGGGCUCAACCUCGGAACGGCAUUCGAUACGGGACGGCUGGAGACCGGGAGAGGAGAGUGGAAUAGCCAGUGUAGAGGUGAAAUUCGUAGAUAUUGGCUGGAACACCGGUGGCGAAGGCGACUCACUGGCCCGUUACUGACGCUGAGGCGCGAAAGCGUGGGGAGCAAACAGG
This 253-nucleotide ribosomal RNA is filed under the name uncultured bacterium. RNAcentral's name for it is "partial 16S ribosomal RNA". It matches the Rfam family "Bacterial small subunit ribosomal RNA", at positions 524 to 776 of the family's 1533-position model. The record is from RNAcentral.